Long non-coding RNA from Myotis daubentonii (Daubenton's bat), 1226 nucleotides. RefSeq lists it as uncharacterized. NCBI's taxonomy places the organism in Eukaryota, Metazoa, Chordata, Mammalia, Chiroptera, Vespertilionidae. The record is from RefSeq and is a predicted model, not a curated record.
CGGGCCGAGGGGUCCCGCGGCCGGCCCGGGCCCCCGCGCCUCCGCCCGAGGCCCCCUGGACACACGGGGUCCCCCCCCUGCUUCCCCCGGGGGCGGCGGGGCGACGGCGGGGGCCCGCGGCGGCGCUCGGGCGGGCGGACUACUUGACGUGUCGGUGCGGCGAAUUUAUUUCACUUUGCCUAAGGAACGGGGUGUGCUGCGGCGCCCAUUGCCUAGGGAAAAAACCCGGAUGUAAAGUCAACCCAAAGAAGAUUUGAAGUCUGUCUGGAAACCUGAGGGUCCCACUUCUCUAUGGAGGCAGGGAGAACAAGUUGAUGCAUCUAUAUGAGUGAAACCCUGUGAUACAAUGUAACAUCCCAAAUUCCAACCAAGUGAAAGCAGCAUUCAACAGUAGUGUGCAACCUUCUAUCUUCCAAGUUAAAUCAGGCCACAGUAGGACUUCCCCUUUUUACAAAUGUCACAGAAUGAAGCUCUAAAGAGUGAUUUCCAGCUUCCAUUCAAGUGAAAAGUUCAGCUCCCAACAGGACUAGGCAACAUCCACAAAGCAAACCAAGCAAGACCCACGGGACCAAGGCAUUAUUGGGCCUCUCAGGAUGCAGGACACCGCUCCUCCUUGCCUCCAAUCAGAGAAGCUUAAAAAGUGCAGGUUACUCCACAGACCACCAGAAGGUACAGGCAUGGAGAAAAGAGACGCUGCCACUUACACAGAGAAUAAGAGGUCGGCCCACCCAAAGUGACUGCCUAGGCUCCUGUCCAUGCACUUGUCAAAGGCCAGCCCAGCCCAUGGAGGGGGAAAGAAUUGGAGAGGAUCAGCUUUUUAUUUUCAUGUAAAAAGCACUUGCCCCCGGGUUAUAAAUGUUAUUGCAUUUGUGUAGCACUUUACUGCUGCCCUCAGCUUGCAAGCAUCACAGGAUCCCAGUGGCAGUACUUUUAUAACCCUUGAUCAAUAGCUUAUUUCUAUCGCCUUCAGUCCCAGCUGCCAAUCCGUUCUGUAUAAUGUGGAAGGCAGACUUCGCUGCUCUCCAGCUGUACAUGUUAUGAAUGUAAACUCUACGAGUAACAUAUGUAUGUGUGUGUGUGCAUUGAGUGGGGGACAUGGGAAUUUUGAACAAGGAAUGACAAAAAUGGGCCCCUUGUUCUUGGAGACUACCACAAAGCUGGGGGGUUUACUAAUGAAUCUCUCUCUCUCUCUCUCUCUCUCUCUCUCUCUCUCUCUCUCUCUCUCU